This 1629-nucleotide long non-coding RNA is filed under the name Malus domestica (apple). Its description in RNAcentral is "long non-coding RNA (MDOM_LNC013586)". The record is from RNAcentral. Lineage: Eukaryota; Viridiplantae; Streptophyta; Magnoliopsida; Rosales; Rosaceae.
CAUGGCACCAAAUUUUAGCUCCAAUAUUCAUGCUCAUAUGAACGACAUCUACAACAUUUGAGAUGGCAAAUUUUCUAACAAAAUUUACAUUCAAAGAAACAAGAAUAAAGCUUGUAACAAUUACAACUUUUAAAUCACAAACUAUGAACUACAAAACACAAAAGGAUUCACCAACUACUAGACCUAGGCUCUGAUACCACUUGAAGGAAAAUUUUGUGAAAACAUGUUCAUUUAAGCAACAUCAAUAAGCAUGCAAUUAACAAUUAAAGGCGGAAUCAUGCAAGCAUGCACUUAAAAACAAAACAUUAACCAAGAAAUUCAAAGCCUAGUAGAUUGGUGAACCAUAACUCAACUCAAAACAAAGUGAGUUGAAAUUGUACCUUUGUAGAUUCCUCUUUGCAUAAGCAAAGGCUAAUCACCCAAAGAGAGGGCCUUCAUUCCUUGCAUCUUAAAUCUAUGGAUUUGGAUGGAAGAAUAGGUUUCUCCAAGUUCCCAAAAAUAGGGAACCUCUAAGUCUCUUCACCAAGGAGAGAUUGGAGAAGAUAUGAGUGACCUUGGAGUAGUAGGAUUGCUAGAUGUACCCCCCCAAGGUAGCCGGCCUCUUUAGAGAGAAAUGGAGAGACAUGUUCUCUCCAAUUUUCCCCAAAACAAACCCUUAUGAAUUUUAGGCUAUAAAGUCAUAUUUAUACCUUUAUUCAUUUGAGUGGCAAACUUGUAAAUAAGUCCAAGUUCACUACCCUUAGCAUCAUGGCCGGCCCUAGGGUAUUUUGGGCUAAUUAGGCCUUUGUGAAUCAUUAUUCAUUAAGUUGUCAUACAACUUAAGUCAAUGGACUUGACGUUCGAAGUCCAUUGGGCCUUAAGGUCCAAAACUAUCCCCUAGGUCUUUAACGAACUUAUUCGUUUGAUUAAUUAACAUAUUAAUUAAUCCUUGCCAUAAAUAAAUGAUUAAACCAUUUAAUCAUUCUUACUCAUCUUCGUUUAAUCUCCAAUCUCCACCUCUUAUGGUGUGCGAUCCAUUAGGUUCCUUUUAGCGAGGCAGUGGGCGAUUAAAACCAUUUUACAUCGAUUGUGAAUUGAAACUUACUUUCAAUUCUCCCUUUAGUGAUUACACACGUUUAGGGCUUCCACAAACCAUGAGUGACACCUAGCAGCAUAUCAUGGUUACCCAAACUAAUCAUAAGAGGUUAGAGAACCUAUUCAGUUUGGGAUUACAAAUGCAAUACGGUAUUUCUCUAAUUUAAUACUCUUGACCACAUUGUUUGGUUUGAUAGUUUAUAAGUUCAUGUCUACUAUCCAAUGUGAUUCGUGUGCUUCUAUGAUUUCCUUGAAUGUGAUUUAGAACGACUUUUCUAAAUCUCAUUCAUACUCUGGCCAGAGAUUCUAAAUCAUAUCAUAGAGUAUUCUCCAUCAAACAGUUUGAAGGUUAGAGAUCCCUUGUUGCGCAUUCACUUGCCUCCAUGGCUAAGUGGCUUAACCCCAACGAUGCCGUGGACACCCUCCUAAUGGAGUGACUUUGACAUAAUCAAAGAUCAAGGACUUAACCACAAGACAACUAUAAUGCCUCAGGUCAAAGGACUACUUUGCAUUAUCCCAACCAUGAGUUCUCAUGUGACAUGAGUAUGAGAACUC